UACGGAGGGGGCUAGCGUUGUUCGGAAUUACUGGGCGUAAAGCGCGCGUAGGCGGCUUUGUAAGUUAGAGGUGAAAGCCCAGGGCUUAACCCUGGAAUUGCCUUUAAGACUGCAUCGCUAGAAUCGUGGAGAGGUAAGUGGAAUUCCGAGUGUAGAGGUGAAAUUCGUAGAUAUUCGGAAGAACACCAGUGGCGAAGGCGACUUACUGGACACGUAUUGACGCUGAGGUGCGAAAGCGUGGGGAGCAAACAGG
This 253-nucleotide ribosomal RNA is filed under the name uncultured bacterium. RNAcentral describes it as "partial 16S ribosomal RNA". It matches the Rfam family "Bacterial small subunit ribosomal RNA", at positions 524 to 776 of the family's 1533-position model. The record is from RNAcentral.